This 301-nucleotide ribosomal RNA is filed under the name uncultured bacterium. Its description in RNAcentral is "partial 16S ribosomal RNA". It matches the Rfam family "Bacterial small subunit ribosomal RNA", at positions 509 to 807 of the family's 1533-position model. The record is from RNAcentral.
CAGCAGCCACGGUAAUACGAAGGGGGCUAGCGUUGUUCGGAAUUACUGGGCGUAAAGGGCGCGUAGGCGGCCAUUCAAGUUAGAUGUGAAAGCCCUGGGCUCAACCUAGGAAUUGCAUUUGAUACAGUUUGGCUUGAGUUCGGGAGAGGUGAGUGGAAUUCCCAGUGUAGAGGUGAAAUUCGUAGAUAUUGGGAAGAACACCGGUGGCGAAGGCGGCAACCUGGUCCUUGACUGACGCUGAGGCGCGAAAGCGUGGGGAGCAAACAGGAUUAGAUACCCCCGUAGUCCCUGUCUCUUAUAC